Molecule: long non-coding RNA, 210 nt
Filed under: Lathyrus oleraceus (garden pea)
Lineage: Eukaryota; Viridiplantae; Streptophyta; Magnoliopsida; Fabales; Fabaceae
Description: Pisum sativum (pea) long non-coding RNA (PSAT_LNC031804)
Source: RNAcentral
GAUUUUAAGUGAAUUUGAUCAUGCACAUGCUACUGUUCAUGUCCAAAAUUUGCAUGGCACCUCACAAUUUCAAUUUUUGGUCACACACCUUAUUUUGCUUAAUCUCAAUUAACCAAUGUAAAUGUGGAUUAGCAAUGUGAUUAAGAGACCAUAUAUAAACAAAAUCAUAACAGAAUUUCACAGUUUUUGCUCAUUCUAGAUCCAAAAUUU